This 785-nucleotide ribosomal RNA is filed under the name uncultured soil bacterium. RNAcentral describes it as "partial small subunit ribosomal RNA". The stretch from base 163 to 785 matches the Rfam family "Bacterial small subunit ribosomal RNA", at positions 875 to 1502 of the family's 1533-position model. The record is from RNAcentral.
GGGGCGAUACUCGUGUGCAGUAAGAGUCAAAUUAGAGAACCCGUCGCAAGCGUGUCCCGCAUUCUGAAUAGCAGAUAGCUGGGACUACUGAUUGAUCUUGUGUUUACGUAACGGGAUUUGUUUACAGAACCACCCUUUGUAGUUUCCACAGUUUAGCAACCCUGGGAGUUCUGUUCAAAUUUAAACCAAAAAACUCCGGGCCCCCACAAACGGGAAAAACUUGGGCCAUUUGGGUAACGGGGAGAACCUUCCCGGCCUUGAUUCCUUUUUUUUAAGGGGGAAAACCUCACAGGUUCAAAACCAGAAGCCAGGGGCACCAAGGCGGUUUUCGGUCGGACCCGAAAAUUUUGGUAAGUGCCCCAACCAACCCAAACCCUGGGUUCUUUUUACAACCCGGGAAAACCCCGACCCCUUGGGACAGAAUCCCUUGCUUAAAUCAGGAGGAAGGGGUGGGACGCCUCAAGUCAGUAUGCCCCCUUACGGCCCAGGGGUGCACACCUACUACCAAUGCCCGGCACAAAAGGGAGGCAAGAUCGCAAGAUGGAGCCAAUUCCCCAAAAAACCGGGCCCAGUUCAAAUCGUCGUCUGCAACUCGACGGCGUGAAGUUGGAAUCGCUAGUAAUGGCGCAUCAGCUACGGCGCCGUGAAUACGUUCCCAGGCCUUGUACACACCGCCCGUCACAUCAUGAAAGCCGUUUGUACCCGAAGUCGCCGUGUUAACUCGCAAGAGAGACAGGUGCCGAAGGUAUGAAUGGUAUUGGGAUGAAGUCGUAACAAGGUAACCA